CCUACGGGGGGCAGCAGUGAGGAAUAUUGGUCAAUGGGCGAGAGUCUGAACCAGCCAAGUAGCGUGAAGGAUGACUGCCCUAUGGAUUGUAAACUUCUUUUAUAUGGGAGUAAAAUGUUCCACGUGUGGGAUUUUGUAUGUACCAGAUGAAUAAGGAUCGGCUAACUCCGUGCCAGCAGCCGCGGUAAUACGGAGGAUCCGAGCGUUAUCCGGAUUUAUUGGGUUUAAAGGGAGCGUAGGUGGAUUGUUAAGUCAGUGGGGAAAGUUGGCGGCUCAACCGUAACAUUGCCGUUGAAACUGGCAGUCUUGAGUACAGUAGAGGUGUGCGGAAUGCGUGGUGUAGCGGUGAAAUGCUUAGAUAUCACGCAGAACUCCGAUUGCGAAGGCAGCACACUGGACUUCAACUGACACUGAGGCUCGAAAGUGUGGGUAUCAAACAGGAUUAGAUACCCUUGUAGUC
This 460-nucleotide ribosomal RNA is filed under the name uncultured bacterium. RNAcentral describes it as "partial 16S ribosomal RNA". It matches the Rfam family "Bacterial small subunit ribosomal RNA", at positions 338 to 795 of the family's 1533-position model. The record is from RNAcentral.